CUUGCACAGAUGACGACCGGCGCACGGGUGCGUAACGCGUAUAGAACCUACCUUUUACAGAGGAAUAGCCUUUAGAAAUGAAGAUUAAUGCCUCAUAGUAUUGUAGACUGGCAUCAGUUUAUAAUUAAAGAUUUAUCGGUAAAAGAUGGCUAUGCGUCCUAUUAGUUAGUUGGUAAGGUAACGGCUUACCAAGACAGCGAUAGGUAGGGGUCCUGAGAGGGAGAUCCCCCACACUGGUACUGAGACACGGACCAGACUCCUACGGGAGGCAGCAGUGAGGAAUAUUGGACAAUGGAGGAGACUCUGAUCCAGCCAUGCCGCGUGUAGGAAGAAUGCCCUAUGGGUUGUAAACUACUUUUAUACAGGAAGAAACACUGGUAUGUAUACCAGCUUGACGGUACUGUAAGAAUAAGGACCGGCUAACUCCGUGCCAGCAGCCGCGGUAAUACGGAGGGUCCGAGCGUUAUCCGGAAUCAUUGGGUUUAAAGG
Molecule: ribosomal RNA, 489 nt
Filed under: uncultured Polaribacter sp.
Lineage: Bacteria; Pseudomonadati; Bacteroidota; Flavobacteriia; Flavobacteriales; Flavobacteriaceae
Description: bacterial SSU rRNA
Rfam family: Bacterial small subunit ribosomal RNA
Source: RNAcentral